UACAGAGGGGGCAAGCGUUGUUCGGAAUUACUGGGCGUAAAGGGCGCGUAGGCGGCCAACUAAGUCGGACGUGAAAUCCCCGGGCUCAACCCGGGAACUGCGUCUGAUACUGGGUGGCUUGAAUCCGGGAGAGGGAUGCGGAAUUCCAGGUGUAGCGGUGAAAUGCGUAGAUAUCGGGAGGAACACCUGUGGCGAAAGCGGCGCACUGGACCACAACUGACGCUGAGGCGCGAAAGCUAGGGGAGCAAACAGG
This 253-nucleotide ribosomal RNA is filed under the name uncultured bacterium. RNAcentral describes it as "partial 16S ribosomal RNA". It matches the Rfam family "Bacterial small subunit ribosomal RNA", at positions 524 to 776 of the family's 1533-position model. The record is from RNAcentral.